RNAcentral lists this long non-coding RNA (789 nucleotides) under Ananas comosus (pineapple). Its description in RNAcentral is "long non-coding RNA (ACOM_LNC030411)". The record is from RNAcentral. Lineage: Eukaryota; Viridiplantae; Streptophyta; Magnoliopsida; Poales; Bromeliaceae.
GAGUAUUUCGAUAUAUCCAGGUAUCUUGGAUUUCAAAAUAAGAUUACUACUGAUUCUGCAUUAGUGCGUUUGGUUUGAUACAGUAAUGUAAUGCUGGAUUGCAGUGUUUAUAGCAUUACUAUGUUUGGUUCUAUCUAUAAAAUUUAGUAAUCUAGACAAUAAAAUAUAGUUUAUUCCAAAAUUGCGCUUAGCCAUAUUUCGUAAACUUUUUUUUUAUUGCUUAUAAAUAAUAUUUUUUACCAAAUUUUAUUUUAAAUAAUUUAAUAUAUUAAAUUUUAAAUUUUAAAUUUGAACAAAAAUAUAAUUUAAUAUUUAAUUUAAAAUAUAAAUAUAAAUUUAAAUUUAAAAUCUAAAAUUUAANNNNNNNNNNNNNNNNNNNNNNNNUAUAUAUAUAUAAAAUUUAAAAUUUAAAUCUAAAUUUAAAAUUCAGAAUUUAAAAUACAAAUUUGUAUUUUAAAAUUUAAAAUUUAAAAUUAAAAUCUGAAAAAUUUGAAAUUUGAAAUUUGAAAUUUAAAAUUUAAAACUUAUAAUUUAAAAUCUAAAAUUUAAAAUUUAAAUUUUAAAUAUAAAAUAUAAAAUUUAAAUUUGAAGUUUAAAAAUUAAAAAUUAAAAAAAUUAAAAAUUUAAAUUUGAAAAUUAAAAAUUAAAAUUCAAUGUUUAAAAUUUAAAAGUUAACAAUCCAAAAUUUUAAAUUAAUUUGUUUAUAUUAACGUAUUGAAAGGGUUUUGGAAGUCAGAGGGGUAAAAUUGUCAUUUUACAUAAUAUGCAGUAUUAUUGGCUUUCAGUAAU